Non-coding RNA from Sturnus vulgaris (Common starling), 248 nucleotides. The record is from RefSeq and is a predicted model, not a curated record. Lineage: Eukaryota; Metazoa; Chordata; Aves; Passeriformes; Sturnidae.
AUGUGAGGAUUUUCUUUUUUAACAGUUCAUUCCGUGAAACCGUUUUUUUUCCUUGUUUGCUGUUAGAAAAUAUUGGAGCUAAACAUAGGGCUUUCAUUGCAAAUUGCUAUCAAGGGACUAAGAAAGGAUGUCGGCAUAUUGUUAAUGUCUCUCUUCAAGCUGUGUUUGAGCUUACCUUUCAGGUCACAUCUACUGGAGAAAGCCUGCUCACAAGCCUCCAUUAGCUAGUUGCCCUCUGGUGAGAGAAA